UUCUCGUUUCUGAUCGACGUUCAUGGCAUUCAUGAACUUGCAUUUGAUCCAGUCUCAAACUUCUUGAUGCUUGGUAUCUAGUUUCACAGUGUUCGCGAAGAUAGUUCUGAAUUUAUAUGUGAUUGCAUGAUAAUGUUUGGACUUUGAGGCUGUUUGACAAGUUUACAACUUCUUCAAGCAAGAAUGCGGUACUUUCCAGUGUGAGGAAGGAC
Molecule: long non-coding RNA, 212 nt
Filed under: Nicotiana benthamiana
Lineage: Eukaryota; Viridiplantae; Streptophyta; Magnoliopsida; Solanales; Solanaceae
Description: long non-coding RNA (NBEN_LNC027394)
Source: RNAcentral